UGUUGGUGAAGAGUCCUGCCAAAUAUGUAAGGGUAGUGCUGUGGGAAGUCUUGGUCCUCGAAAAAUCUCUUUUGUGGAAGUAGUUAUUAAGAUUCAUGAACAUGAAUUUCUUUAUUUUUGUGGCUUGGGCAACACAGGCUGAUAUAUUAUGGAGCAGAGUUUAAGAUGCUUAAGUAAGGUAAAGAAAUGUCAAGGGUCUGAAGUAGAUUCUUCCUUUGAUAUUUAGCUCUUAAAGUCACAUGGACGGGGAUCUGGAAGUUAGAAUGAAUUCUCUGCAUUGGUUGGUUUUGACAUGGAUUAUGGGAACAGAACUGUGAUAUUUAGUUCUAAAGUUGAAAGAUACGACAACCACGAUUCCUCAUGUUUAGAGUUGAAAGAUAUUUGAGGUCAAGACCAGCCAUAUAUAGUUUCUAAUGUUGGGCAACCACGAAAACAAGAUUUAGAAGAUACAUAUGGGUAGAAUCAGAAUGUUAAAAUGGAUUUGUGGUGUUAAUAUAAUAUGGCAAAGAACUGUGAGACUUAAUGUGGGAUAAACAUNNNNNNNNNNNNNNNNNNNNNNNNNNNNNNNGGUCUGAAGUAGAUUCUUUCUUUGAUAUUUAGCUCUUAAAGUCACAUGGACGGGGAUCUGGAAGUUAGAAUGAAUUCUCUGCAUUGGUUGGUUUUGACAUGGAUUAUGAGAACAGAAUAAGGUUCUGUCUAUUUAUUUGGACUGUUGGUUAGCGUCUUUGACAGACAAAGAACUUUACAUCAUAAUGAACUGUGAUAUUUAGUUCUAAAGCUGAAAGAUAUGACAACCACGAUUCUUCAUGUUAGAGUUGAAAGAUAUUUGAGGUCAAGACCAGCCAUAUAUAGUUUCUAAUGUUGGGCAACCACGAAAACAAGAUUUAGAAGAUACAUAUGGGUAGAAUCAGAAUGUUAAAAUGGAUUUGUGGUGUUAAUAUAAUAUGGCAAAGAACUGUGAGACUUAAUGUGGGAUAAACAUCCU
RNAcentral lists this long non-coding RNA (985 nucleotides) under Olea europaea subsp. europaea. Lineage: Eukaryota; Viridiplantae; Streptophyta; Magnoliopsida; Lamiales; Oleaceae. The record is from RNAcentral.